GCUGAUGUGGCAGAAAUUGCGAAGGAGUUAAGUUCCUUAUAUGAGUGUUUAUCUCUAUUAGUG
Molecule: transfer RNA, 63 nt
Filed under: Cermatobius longicornis
Lineage: Eukaryota; Metazoa; Arthropoda; Chilopoda; Lithobiomorpha; Henicopidae
Description: tRNA-Leu
Source: RNAcentral